UACAGAGGGUGCAAGCGUUGUUCGGAAUUACUGGGCGUAAAGCGCGUGUAGGCUGCAAUAUAAGUCGGAUGUGAAAGCCCUCGGCUCAACCGAGGAAGUGCAUCCGAUACUGUAUCGCUAGAGUGUCGGAGGGGAUGGCGGAAUUCCCGGUGUAGAGGUGAAAUUCGUAGAUAUCGGGAGGAACACCUGUGGCGAAGGCGGCCAUCUGGACGACAACUGACGCUGAGACGCGAAAGCGUGGGUAGCAAACAGG
RNAcentral lists this ribosomal RNA (253 nucleotides) under uncultured bacterium. RNAcentral's name for it is "partial 16S ribosomal RNA". It matches the Rfam family "Bacterial small subunit ribosomal RNA", at positions 524 to 776 of the family's 1533-position model. The record is from RNAcentral.